Molecule: ribosomal RNA, 253 nt
Filed under: uncultured bacterium
Lineage: Bacteria
Description: partial 16S ribosomal RNA
Rfam family: Bacterial small subunit ribosomal RNA
Source: RNAcentral
UACAGAGGUCCCAAGCGUUGUUCGGAUUCACUGGGCGUAAAGGGCGCGUAGGCGGUUUGUUAAGUUGGAUGUGAAAACUGUGGGCUCAACCUGCAGCCUGCAUCCAAUACUGACAGGCUAGAGUUCUGGAGGGGAUAGCGGAAUUCCUGGUGUAGCGGUGAAAUGCGUAGAUAUCAGGAGGAACACCGGUGGCGAAGGCGGCUAUCUGGACAGAGUCUGACGCUGAGGCGCGAGAGCUAGGGGAGCAAACAGG